GAUGAACGCUGGCGGCGUGCCUAAUACAUGCAAGUCGAGCGAACAGACGAGGAGCUUGCUCCUCUGACGUUAGCGGCGGACGGGUGAGUAACACGUGGAUAACCUACCUAUAAGACUGGGAUAACUUCGGGAAACCGGAGCUAAUACCGGAUAAUAUAUUGAACCGCAUGGUUCAAUAGUGAAAGACGGUUUUGCUGUCACUUAUAGCUGGAACCGCGCCGCAUUAGCUAGUUGGUAAGGUAACGGCUUACCAAGGCAACGAUGCGUAGCCGACCUGAGAGGAUGAUCGGCCGCACUGGAACGAGGACGCGGUCCAGACUCCGACGGGAGGCAGCAGUAGGGAAUCUUCGGCAAUGGGCGAAAGCUUGACGGAGAAACGCCGCGUGAGUGAUGAAGGUCUUCGGAUCGUAAACUCUGUUAUUAGGGGAGAACAAAUGUGUAAGUAACUAUGCACGUCUUGACGGUACCUAAUCAGAAAGCCACGGCUAACUACGUG
RNAcentral lists this ribosomal RNA (496 nucleotides) under uncultured bacterium. Its description in RNAcentral is "partial 16S ribosomal RNA". It matches the Rfam family "Bacterial small subunit ribosomal RNA", at positions 28 to 507 of the family's 1533-position model. The record is from RNAcentral.